RNAcentral lists this ribosomal RNA (244 nucleotides) under uncultured bacterium. Its description in RNAcentral is "partial 16S ribosomal RNA". It matches the Rfam family "Bacterial small subunit ribosomal RNA", at positions 9 to 239 of the family's 1533-position model. The record is from RNAcentral.
GAGUUUGAUCUUGGCUCAGGACGAACGCUGGCGGCGUGCCUAACACAUGCAAGUUGAGCGGAGAUAUGGAGAGCUUGCUCUUUAUAUUUUAGCAGCGAACGGGUGAGUAACACGUAGAUAAUUUGUCCUAUAUUGGGGGAUAGGCCGAUGAAAAUUGGAUUAACUACCGCGAUACAGUCUAAUUUAACCGCAUGGGGAGAUAGUGGAAAGGGGAAACUUGAUAUAGGAGGAGUUCUAGCGGCAC